CACCUCUUGCUUAACUAUAAUAGGCCCAGCCUGCCCUCUGAUAAUUUUAUUUAACGGCCGCGGUAACCUAACCGUGCUAAGGUAGCAUAGUCACUCGUUCCUUAAAUGGGGACUAGUAUGAAUGGCACCACGAAGACUAUACUGUCUCCUCUCUACAAUCAGUGAAACUGAUCUCCCCGUGAAAAAGCGGGGAUUAUAUUAUAAGACGAGAAGACCCCAUGAAGCUUGAAACUAAUAACCAACCGCCACCCAAAACCACUGGAAGUCUGGCAGACCUGGCUAUAAAUUUUUGGUUGGGGCAACCGCGGAGCAAAAUAAAACCUCCACAAUAUACAUUAUAGGUGACCUACUCCCACCCAAUCUAAGAACAACACUUCUAAGUAUCAAACAUUGACUCUGUGAUCCAAAUCUUUGAUCAAUGAAUCCAGUUACUCUGGGGAUAACAGCGCAAUCUAUUUCAAGAGCCCAUAUUGACAAAUAGGUUUACGACCUCGAUGUUGGAUCAGGGUACCCCAGUGGUGCAACCGCCGCUAACGGUUCGUUUGUUCAACGAUUAAAACCCCU
This 564-nucleotide ribosomal RNA is filed under the name Arthroleptis sp. B DGM-2017. RNAcentral describes it as "partial 16S ribosomal RNA". It matches the Rfam family "Bacterial large subunit ribosomal RNA", at positions 1829 to 2598 of the family's 2925-position model. Lineage: Eukaryota; Metazoa; Chordata; Amphibia; Anura; Arthroleptidae. The record is from RNAcentral.